This 465-nucleotide ribosomal RNA is filed under the name uncultured Klebsiella sp. RNAcentral's name for it is "bacterial SSU rRNA". It matches the Rfam family "Bacterial small subunit ribosomal RNA", at positions 338 to 795 of the family's 1533-position model. Lineage: Bacteria; Pseudomonadati; Pseudomonadota; Gammaproteobacteria; Enterobacterales; Enterobacteriaceae. The record is from RNAcentral.
UCUACGGGUGGCUGCAGUGGGGAAUAUUGCACAAUGGGCGCAAGCCUGAUGCAGCCAUGCCGCGUGUGUGAAGAAGGCCUUCGGGUUGUAAAGCACUUUCAGCGGGGAGGAAGGCGUUAAGGUUAAUAACCUUGUCGAUUGACGUUACCCGCAGAAGAAGCACCGGCUAACUCCGUGCCAGCAGCCGCGGUAAUACGGAGGGUGGAAGCGUUAAUCGGAAUUACUGGGCGUAAAGCGCACGCAGGCGGUCUGUCAAGUCGGAUGUGAAAUCCCCGGGCUCAACCUGGGAACUGCAUUCGAAACUGGCAGGCUAGAGGCUUGUAGAGGGGGGUAGAAUUCCAGGUGUAGCGGUGAAAUGCGUAGAGAUCUGGAGGAAUACCGGUGGCGAAGGCGGCCCCCUGGACAAAGACUGACGCUCAGGUGCGAAAGCGUGGGGAGCAAACAGGAUUAGAUACCCGAGUAGUC